RNAcentral lists this ribosomal RNA (513 nucleotides) under uncultured bacterium. Its description in RNAcentral is "partial 16S ribosomal RNA". It matches the Rfam family "Bacterial small subunit ribosomal RNA", at positions 28 to 507 of the family's 1533-position model. The record is from RNAcentral.
GACGAACGCUGGCGGCGUGCUUAACACAUGCAAGUCGAACGAAAAGAGGGAAAGAGCUUGCUCUUUCCGGAAUUGAGUGGCAAACGGGUGAGUAACACGUAAACAACCUGCCUUCAGGAUGGGGACAACAGACGGAAACGACUGCUAAUACCGAAUAAGUUCCAAGGGCCGCAUGGCCCAUGGAAGAAAAGGUGGCCUCUACCUGUAAGCUAUCGCCUGAAGAGGGGUUUGCGUCUGAUUAGCUGGUUGGAGGGGUAACGGCCCACCAAGGCGACGAUCAGUAGCCGGUCUGAGAGGAUGAACGGCCACACUGGAACUGAGACACGGUCCAGACUCCUACGGGAGGCAGCAGUGGGGAAUCUUCCGCAAUGGGCGAAAGCCUGACGGAGCAACGCCGCGUGAGUGAUGACGGCCUUCGGGUUGUAAAACUCUGUGAUCCGGGACGAAAAGGCAGAGUGCGAAGAACAAACUGCAUUGACGGUACCGGAACAGCAAGCCACGGCUAACUACGUG